RNAcentral lists this ribosomal RNA (520 nucleotides) under uncultured Glomus. Its description in RNAcentral is "SSU rRNA". It matches the Rfam family "Eukaryotic small subunit ribosomal RNA", at positions 569 to 1092 of the family's 1831-position model. The record is from RNAcentral. Lineage: Eukaryota; Fungi; Glomeromycota; Glomeromycetes; Glomerales; Glomeraceae.
AGCAGCCGCGGUAAUUCCAGCUCCAAUAGCGUAUAUUAAAGUUGUUGCAGUUAAAAAGCUCGUAGUUGAAUUUCGAGACCGGUUUAUUGGUCGUGCUUUUGUACGUACUGGUAUUAUUGGUUUCUCCUUUCUGACGAACUAUAAUGCCAUUAAUUUGGUGUUAUGGGGAAUCAGGACUGUUACUUUGAAAAAAUUAGAGUGUUUAAAGCAGGCUCACGCUUGAAUACAUUAGCAUGGAAUAACGGAAUAGGACGUUUGAUUCUAUUUUGUUGGUUUCUAGGAUCGACGUAAUGAUUAAUAGGGAUAGUUGGGGGCAUUAGUAUUCAAUUGUCAGAGGUGAAAUUCUUGGAUUUAUUGAAGACUAACUACUGCGAAAGCAUUUGCCAAGGAUGUUUUCAUUAAUCAAGAACGAAAGUUAGGGGAUCGAAGACGAUCAGAUACCGUCGUAGUCUUAACCAUAAACUAUGCCGACUAGGGAUCGGAUGAUGUUAAUUUUUAAUGACUCAUUCGGCGCCUUACG